GAUGAACGCUAGCGGCAGGCUUAAUACAUGCAAGUCGUGGGGCAGCAUGGGGUAGCAAUACUCUGAUGGCGACCGGCAAACGGGUGCGGAACACGUACGCAACCUUCCCAAAACUGGUGAAUAGCCCUCCGAAAGGAGGAUUAAUACACCGUAACAUAACGAAGUGGCAUCACUUUGUUAUUAUAGCUCCGGCGGUUUUGGAUGGGCGUGCGCCUGAUUAGGUAGUUGGCGGGGUAACGGCCCACCAAGCCUACGAUCAGUAACUGGUGUGAGAGCACGACCAGUCACACGGGCACUGAGACACGGGCCCGACUCCUACGGGAGGCAGCAGUAAGGAAUAUUGGUCAAUGGACGCAAGUCUGAACCAGCCAUGCCGCGUGAAGGAUGAAGGUCCUCUGGAUUGUAAACUUCUUUUAUCUGGGACGAAAAAAGGGCUUUCUAGCUCACUUGACGGUACCAGAGGAAUAAGCACCGGCUAACUCCGUG
RNAcentral lists this ribosomal RNA (486 nucleotides) under uncultured bacterium. RNAcentral's name for it is "bacterial SSU rRNA". It matches the Rfam family "Bacterial small subunit ribosomal RNA", at positions 28 to 507 of the family's 1533-position model. The record is from RNAcentral.